Long non-coding RNA from Vespa crabro (European hornet), 172 nucleotides. RefSeq lists it as uncharacterized. The record is from RefSeq and is a predicted model, not a curated record. NCBI's taxonomy places the organism in Eukaryota, Metazoa, Arthropoda, Insecta, Hymenoptera, Vespidae. The transcript is spliced from 2 exons.
GAAACGUCGGAUCUCUAUCGAUGAUGCAAUUUGCGUUCCGCUUUUCACGUCUCUACCACUAAAGACUAGCACAAAAUGCGCUCUCUCACUUCCUGAUAGUUUACAUCGAUAAAUAAAGAAACAAAUUAUUCCGAUACGAGAUCAAAUGAAUAAGCGAAUAAAUAAAAGAACG